GAGCCACUGCACCUGGCCUAGCUGUACACAUUAAAUUGGUGAACUUUAUGUUAUAUGAAUUAUAUCUCAAUAAAGAUAUUUCAGGAAACUAAAACCAAAAAGCCACCUUAGGGCUGAUGGGAGAGGGAGACAGAGGACCCACAGUGUGACUCCUAGGGUGCAGCUGCUCACAAAUGUGGGGUCCACUCUGCAGCUUUCCUCUGAGGUAAGGGUUGGUGGUUGUACCCUCUCCAGGCUCUAGCACUGGACACGAGUGGAGACAGAUGCUCUUGGACCUGAACUGGCCUUGCCACAGACAAGUCAGUGUGGUGCGUCCUCAGCGCCCCUCACGGCGAGGCCUCCAUAGGGUUAGGGAUGUGGUGCAAUCACAGUGACUUGUGAUUUGCAGCUCUCUGAAAAGCACUUGCCCCUGUCUUGUGGAGUUACUGCUGUGAGUCCCACUUAAUAGGGAAACCUGAGCCAGAGAUGGGAAGGGGCUUGAGCAAGGUCAGUUGGGUAUUAGUGGAGGUCAAAUGGUCCUCAGCCUGGUGCGCUUUCUUCUUCCUGUCACUCUGUUCUUCAUCUACAAAUUGCUCCCCUCUCUGCUGGGACAGGGAGGCGGAUCACAGCAGGGCCAGCCCUACUAGUCUUUGCUUCUUGGCAAGGGUGCAGAUUAUUAUAACAUCUGCUUUGCAGGGAUCCCACUGGACAAGGAUGUGGUCACAGAGUUCUCAGGCUGAGAAUCAAUGGAGGUACGUGGUGCUCAUCUGCUUAUGAGGAAGUGAGGAAGAUGCCACUUUCUUGCCUGGUCCACUGAUGGCUCCAGCAGAUGUGACAUAGACUGGAAGUGAUGGACCCAACCAACAAUCAGAACUAAAGCAUCAGAUGAGCCACCUCAGCCCUGUGAGCCAUGCCAGCCACCCUACCUGUGACCCUACCUGUGGCCCUAGUCAUCCUGGAGCAGAGGUGAGCUGCUUCCGCUGCUUUCUGCCAAAAUUCUUGAACCACAACGUUUUGGGCAUAAUCACAUGAUUGUAGUCUUAUGUCACUAUGUUUUAGAGUGGCCCGUUAUGCAGCCACAUACAGGUGACUGGAAAAGCAGCUUACUCUGUCAUCUAGCUACCUGAGAUUUUGGCAUGGAAGUCCCUGUGUCUGGUCUGACUCCUUAGGAGUAAGCAUUAUAUUCUGACUCCUUGGGAGUAAGCAUUUCUGGGUCCUGUAGCAUCUGCCCCAUAUCCUUGGAGAUUCAGGCUCCUAGGAGUAGGGGUGGUGUCUGGGGACUCCCACUGAGUCAUGGAAUCCUAUUGGUGGUUUUACAUCUUAAGACUUCAUCGAGGAUCCGUGGAGGAGAACACUGUAUCAUCCAAAGCAGGUCCCUUCCACAGCUGCAUUUUGCAAACAUACUCAGUAGAAAAAGUGAAGGAAGAAAAAAGUGAGAUUCCCUGCUGCAGGAAUUUUGUGAACUGUCUCGAACACUCACCCCACACAGCCACAUUGGGCUGGCUGUGGAAGGCCCUGGCCGGGUGUGCUGAUUGGACUGUGCUGGGAACAAAAUCUCCCUGGAAGGCAUCCCCGUUCCGCAUGAUAUAGAUACAGGACCCCAAAAUGUUUCUACCCAGAGCCUGGAGUUUCCUAAGUGUUUUCUUCCAGGGGAUUAAUCUCCAGAAUUGGCAGGAGGUGAACAUGAAGUGCCACCUGAAAUUUAGUGGUGGCUUGAACGAGGAAUGGGAUUGGCACAGGUUAAGAAGAAGCUCCUCUCCUGUCUUCUGAGUGUCUGUUCCUGGAGAUGGAACGGUGGGCCCCCCGCUCUCUCAGAAGCCUCACUUCAACCCAUGGGCGAGGGUGGCCCACUCCUUGUUUUGUGGAGUUGGACCUUAGGCUUCUGCCAGGUUUUCAGAUUUAGGCGGGGCUCUCUGUUAAACACAGAGAAGUUAUGGCACCCAGAGAACCAGGACCAGGGUGGGCCCAGAAAGACACCAGGGCUCAAAAUGAAGGAGACAUGCCUCCUAACAUCAUGGAGGUGCUCGUUCAUUAAGGAGGUGUUCUCCCUAAAACUAAGGAGAUAUUUGCCGUUAAAUAAAAAGGUGUUCUAAAAUGAA
Long non-coding RNA from Sapajus apella (tufted capuchin), 2078 nucleotides. RefSeq lists it as uncharacterized. The record is from RefSeq and is a predicted model, not a curated record. The transcript has 2 exons. Lineage: Eukaryota; Metazoa; Chordata; Mammalia; Primates; Cebidae.